Molecule: ribosomal RNA, 274 nt
Filed under: uncultured bacterium
Lineage: Bacteria
Description: partial 16S ribosomal RNA
Rfam family: Bacterial small subunit ribosomal RNA
Source: RNAcentral
AUACGGGGGGAGCGAGCGUUGUUCGGAAUCACUGGGCGUAAAGGGCGUGUAGGCGGUUUGGUAAGUGAGGUGUGAAAGCCCCCGGCUCACCCGGGGAGGGUCAUCUCAUACUGCUGAACUUGAGUGCGGAAGAGGAUGAGGGAAUUCCUGGUGUAGCGGUGAAAUGCGUAGAUAUCAGGAGGAACACCGGUGGCGAAGGCGCUCAUCUGGUCCGUUACUGACGCUGAGGCGCGAAAGCUAGGGGAGCGAACGGGAGUAGAAACCCCAGUAGUCC